GGAACCCACAGGCAAUUUUAUAGCUCGUCUUAUUACCUAAGUUUAUUGCAUCGUAACGGUUUAACGAUCAUCGCCUGUUUCCAUAGUCGAGACCACCGGUUUAUGCUUUGCCCGUAGCGGUAACCAUAACAAGACCAUAAAAGUCCCUGCCGCUGGCAUGAAACCCAUUCUGAAUUACAUUCUUACGGUCUACUGACAUUGACACUCUGGGUGUAACCAGCUGUAUCUGCCGAUGACUUUUAUGACCUUUUAAAAUUAUUUAAUGUUCAUUUAUUUAUUUGUUAUCGAUUCUAUUACCUGUCGUUAUCCGUAUUGACAAUUUCUCGCUUUUUUAAGCGCGUACGUUUUAGCUUGAAACAUUAUACAAAAUUGGAAGUUUUAUUUCAGUUUAAUUUGAACAAGUUAAAACGGUAUAACCCGGCAUCGGAGUUGGAGUACGGACUAGUGAAAUUUGACUAGCCGUGUGCACUCCAUGUAAUUGCGGGCCACUUAAACUCUGACCUCGCUUUUUUUUUAAGUGCCGGUGUUUUAGUGUAAGUGAUCCAAAAUACCUGGGAUAAUGAACUCGUACUUUGAGCAGACCGCGGGUGGCUUCUACGGAAGCCACCAUCAUCAAACAGGGGCGACAAGUCAGCAUCAUGAUCCAGCCACCGCAGCAGCAUAUCGAAGCUUUCCACUCGGAUUAGGUAUGUCGCCGUAUGCUUCAGCGCAACAUCACCAUCACACGUCAUCCUCGUUAGGAAUACAUCCAGGUGGUGGAAGUAAUACAAGACCACCUCAAGACUCGCCAUAUGAUGCGAGCGUUGCGACGGCCUGCAAGCUUUAUUCAACGACACCUGAGGCAACCGGUCACACUACAUCCUCAUAUUCAACAACGGCAACGAAAGACUGCAAGCAACAGGAUCAAACGUCGACCCAUCAAAACGGCUAUGCUGCGGUGAUGGCAGCGGCGGCGGUCAAGGACGUUUGGCAGUCAGCGACCUCGGGAGCGAAUAGCCAGAGUAAUUCGGUCGUACGUCCUUCCGCCUGUACCCCAGAGAGUACAAGGGUCAGCAGCUACGGUGGCCUCGUAGGCGGCGAUCCAGCAUCGAGUCCUGGUAACAACAGUUCGUCAAGAUCCCUCACGUCAUCUUGGAACACCUGCAGUUUAAACUCGUCCGCGAGUCAACCGGUCGCCACGCAACUGCAUCAGCAACCUACCAAUCAUACCUUCUACCCCUGGAUGGCUAUAGCAGGGGCGAACGGAAUGCGCAGGCGCGGCCGACAGACCUACACGCGCUACCAGACUCUGGAACUGGAGAAGGAAUUCCACACGAACCACUAUCUUACCAGGCGGAGGCGGAUCGAGAUGGCACACGCGCUAUGCCUGACGGAACGGCAAAUCAAGAUCUGGUUCCAGAAUCGGCGAAUGAAGUUGAAGAAGGAGAUUCAGGCGAUCAAGGAGCUAAACGAGCAGGAGAAACAAGCGCAGGCGCAAAAGGCAGCGGCAGCAGCGGCGGCGGUUGCGCAUCAGCAGCAAGGAGGCGGUGGGGGGCCAGAGGGGGGCAACUAGGGGUACGCCCUGCAUCGGAGCCCCCCUGAUCACCCCACCGCCAAUCCACACCACCCUCUACUAGCACCGCAAUGUACACAGCUGUAUUAAAGGUGAGUGGCAGGCUGCACCCGCUGUCUCUGCAAUGCCAAAUAGAUGGUCGAUGUGCGUAUCUGUCGAUCGUCAAUUUAUCGGUUGCGGCGAAUCGGAUGCUGCACCGAAUUGGCGCCAAGGAAUUCUGGACUCUCAUCAUUUAUGAAUCAUCACCCAUUGGCAGUACCAGAGAACUUAUGGAGUUAAACAAAAUGCAAUUUAUAAAUUAAUUAAUAUUCGUUAUAGAUUGUAAAAUUAAUAUAUUUAUAUAUUGUCGA
This 1902-nucleotide unclassified non-coding RNA is filed under the name Monomorium pharaonis (pharaoh ant). Its description in RNAcentral is "homeotic protein ultrabithorax, transcript variant X3". Lineage: Eukaryota; Metazoa; Arthropoda; Insecta; Hymenoptera; Formicidae. The record is from RNAcentral.